Molecule: non-coding RNA, 81 nt
Filed under: Candidatus Electrothrix communis
Lineage: Bacteria; Pseudomonadati; Thermodesulfobacteriota; Desulfobulbia; Desulfobulbales; Desulfobulbaceae
Description: c-di-GMP-I riboswitch aptamer
Rfam family: c-di-GMP-I riboswitch aptamer
About the family: GEMM was predicted in a large-scale screen for bacterial structured RNA regulatory elements. Genes associated with GEMM are involved in a diverse array of functions, including chemotaxis regulation, signal transduction, secretion and chitin.
Source: Rfam by way of RNAcentral
AGCUGACAAAGCCACAACCGUCGCGAGGCGGUGUCGGAAAGCCACGGAUCUCCCCAUAAAGGAGACCGCCGGGUUACCUGC